GAUGAACGCUAGCGACAGGCCUAACACAUGCAAGUCGAGGGGCAGCAUAAAGGUAGCAAUACUUUGGUGGCGACCGGCGCACGGGUGAGUAACACGUAUGCAACCUACCUGUAAGAGGGGAAUAACCCGUUGAAAGACGGACUAAUACCGCAUAAUACUUGAUUACUGCAUGGUAAACGAGUUAAACAUUUAUGGCUUACAGAUGGGCAUGCGCAUGAUUAGCUAGUUGGAGAGGUAACGGCUCCCCAAGGCAACGAUCAUUAGGGGUUCUGAGAGGAAGGUCCCCCACACUGGUACUGAGACACGGACCAGACUCCUACGGGAGGCAGCAGUGAGGAAUAUUGGUCAAUGGGCGCGAGCCUGAACCAGCCAAGUCGCGUGCAGGAAGAAUGUCCUAUGGAUUGUAAACUGCUUUUGCAGGGGAAUAAAGUUCGGCACGUGUGCCGUUUUGUAUGUACUCUGCGAAUAAGGAUCGGCUAACUCCGUGCCAGCAGCCGCGGUAAUACGGAGGAUCCGAGCGUUAUCCGGAUUUAUUGGGUUUAAAGGGUGCGUAGGCGGGAUAAUAAGUCAGUGGUGAAAGUUUGCAGCUUAACUGUAAAAUUGCCGUUGAAACUGUUAUUCUUGAGAGUAGAUAAGGUAGGCGGAAUGUGUUGUGUAGCGGUGAAAUGCAUAGAUAUAACACAGAACCCCGAUUGCGAAGGCAGCUUACCGGGCUACAUCUGACGCUGAAGCACGAAAGCGUGGGGAUCAAACAGGAUUAGAUACCCUGGUAGUCCACGCAGNUAACGAUGAAUACUAGCUGUAUGCGAU
RNAcentral lists this ribosomal RNA (810 nucleotides) under uncultured bacterium. Its description in RNAcentral is "bacterial SSU rRNA". It matches the Rfam family "Bacterial small subunit ribosomal RNA", at positions 28 to 830 of the family's 1533-position model. The record is from RNAcentral.